Molecule: long non-coding RNA, 3459 nt
Organism: Hippocampus zosterae (dwarf seahorse)
Lineage: Eukaryota; Metazoa; Chordata; Actinopteri; Syngnathiformes; Syngnathidae
Exons: 2
Source: RefSeq, a predicted model, not a curated record
CGUCUUAUUACACGUCAUGUUUAAAUAGCCUGACAGAGCUCUUUUAGCAUUGCCUUUUCAAAACCACACAGCUUAGUUAUUAUUUUUUGACUCCUUAAUGCACUGUGUAGAUUUCUACUUGCUGUGUAAUGGCUCCACUAAGAGCAUGCAUCUCCAUAACUGAGGCCAAUGUCACAUCAUCAGACACUGCUAGUGAGACAUGACAGGAUCCACAAGCAAACCCCUCUUGCAGUGCAAUACAACUUGACAGAAUUUGAAUCACCAAAGUACAAUAUGACACAAGAUGGCGCCCCCCCCCCCAAAAAAAAGUACACGUGUUUCUUUAAUUACCGUUUUUCAUGUCGUAUGCGUUGUUGGCAAAUGGAAUUGGAUAUUGUCAAAUCUGAAACGGGCCUCUUCCUAAAUGUGGCUCGUAAUCAGAUUUGUAUCGUGUACCUGCCAACAGCAACAUCAUCGGUACCCUGCCAAUGCGAGCCUAACUUGCUAGGGAUAUCAUUGAUCGUGUAUACUGUACAUGCACACGCGCACACGUGCACGCCGGUCGAUCAAUGCUACAGUGAAAACGUGGCCUAUUAAAUAUGAUGCGCAUUGGAGGUGCACAGACUCUUCCCAAAGGAAAAUGUAAAGCUAAUGCUGUCAGUGAAGGCCAAAAGAAUGGCAUGUAAUGUUUCGUAUUUGACAAAAGCAUGUAAAUAGACCGUCAGAUGGCAUAGAGGAUCGAAAUGGAGCACCAAGAAUCCUGCGUUGUCUACCCAGCCACAAAACAAUUUCCUGCUGGUUAGUGAUACAUCAACGUCACUGUAAAGAGCACAUUCUCUUGACAAUUGGAGUUAAAAAUGCCUUCAUAUAUCCUCCUGUGAGAGAAAGUCAACAACACGAAAGCAGCAUCGGCCUGUGCAGCACAGUCAUCACGUCUAACCACCUACAGAGGACAAAGGGUCCUCUCUUUCUUUUUCUGGCGUUGUGUAACUCAGAUGUUGCAGAAACAUUGGAAGUUUUAAUAUCUCGACUGACCUGACGCCUCGGUUCAUUUAUAGUGUCAGGUCGCUCGGCUUCGUGUCACAUCUCGUUUCAAUCUCUGCGUCUGGUUAUCCGCUGAUCUGCCAUUUGACAGGAAAGAAAUGUGAGGGCCAACCUCUUCUUUCUGUGUCCUCUAUGUGCAUUCUCAGCUUCACACCUCCCAAACACUGAAGGCACCCGUUGAGUCCCUCGGGUGUGUGAAAAUCCUAAAUCGCAAGCUGAAAAUGAAUAAAUGGAUUUUGUCAAUAACAUAUUGGCACAAAUGCUUUUGGUUGCAUCGACGCUGACUAGAAAACGCACUGCAAUUCAAAAGGUUGUUACGACACCGCGCGGCUCUUGAUAAGUCCGCAAUACUCAAGAAUGUUGUUGCUAAUUAGUUUGAAGACGGUGGCGUGACAGAAAUGCUGUGACAAGCCAAGGCUGAGUCUGAGUGGUAUUUUUGAAGUCGAAGCCGAAAGAAACAGCCCGGCACUGUCCUUCUCCCACCGUGACAGAAUAAGAAGACAUCAGCAUUGGUGCCAGCAAAACGCGUUAAUGUCUGUCUGAAGUUGUGAUGACGAUGCGAGUGACAUGAAUGACAAUGCAUCCCUCAGCACGAGAGAGAGACAGAAGGAGAACUGUUGGCUUUUAAUAUCGAAUUGUCUACUUUGACCCGGAAGAUUGAAGCUUAAGGGAGUGGUGGGGAUGAGGUUCACCGUGUCAAAAGCUGUUUUGGUCAUCUCCGGUAUUCCAGAUGUUGUAUUAAUAUCUCAUGCGUGACACCAAAACAUCUGGGCUCUAUCAGAAACCCAAGUCACAUCAAGAGGAGUUAUGCAUGCGGACUACAUGAACGGAAGACUAGUUUUGAAAACAAUGGUGAGAGUUUUAUGCCCGGAAAGACACACCAUUCAUUCCAGUAGCUUGGAAAUGUCGCUGUUGUAAUGAGAGCACAUUUAAUGCUGAUAAGGCACCUCCAAGAAAAAAAAAAUCAGACUCGAGGAAAGACUGAGGAGAAGGAUGUGACAUCUCGUGGGCGAUAUUUAAUCCCACAUCCAGGAUGCACCUGCCAUUCUCCUCUUAACAAGGUCUGACUGGGAACAAGAAACGCCGAGCAAUGUUCACGGUGUAUACUAAAUGCUUGAGGAAAUUAUUACCUUUUGGUUUUAGACUGACUAUAAGGCGAAAGUACAAAAAUUACAAUUCAUACCCUACGCGCAUUGCACAUUUCCUCUAGAAUUGUUCAAAUAACAUUUGGGUGACUUGACUACUGUAAUUCCUCGCAUAUUGGCGGUGACCUCAUCGUGUUGACGGCAGCAAAGGAGUUGUGGUUGGAUUCUAAACUUCUGCUUCGAAGCGAGUAAUCCUGUACACAAAUCGAUUGUAUACUGUACAUCUUGGGUGUAUUAUGAGUCAUCACUGUAUUAUAAAUCACUUUCAAUAAUAUUAUACUUCCCACUUUAUCGUCCUGAUUAGCAAUGUCUACAAAGUGCAAAAUUGUUAUCAUAUUUAAAGAUGUAAUUUUAACGACCGCUUAUGAUUUAAAAAUCUGUAUUUCCUUAUUACGACAAUGUAUAUAUCACAGCCGCACACGCAGUAAUUUAUUGAGACAAGACAAGAACACGUUUUUCGAAACACGUUGACUUGGCUCUCAGCAAGCAGUUCCAGUUUCUCAGUCGCCCACUUUGCAAAAUUAAUUCCCCACCUGCAAUAACAAAAUAGCCCUUUCAGACACCUGUUGUCCACACAGUAAAAGAUACAAACCUAAAAGGUGUUCAAUUAAGAUAUAAACAUUAUCUGCAUCCGACCGGCUAAUUGGUGACAACUCGAUAACCCUGCAAUAGAAGAAGCACCUGUCAGAUAGUGAGGGAAUUAUCAUCUGGCUGAAAAUAAAUAUAGCCUUUGUAUUCUGUGCAUGCCCGGCUAUAAAUUGGCUGUCUGUAUUGACACGACGGCCACGUCACGGUUAUUUGAAGCCGCGGAAGAAAACAGUAGCUGGUUUGGUGUGUUGAUUUGAGCAAGUGUUUUCUGCUGUCGUUCCGUAUGCUUGACAUGCAAAAUGAUCUCACGGGAAAUCUUGUAGUGUCUCCAGAUUCAAAUUUCUUCCCAAAGCGGCGUUUGUUUUGUCGUUUGUCUCUUUUCCAUGUUACUAAUAAUAAUAAUACAGUAAUAAUAAUAAUAAUAAUAAUCCUUUAAUUUUAUUUGUAAGCACCUUUCAAAACACUUAAGGACACCUUACAAUCAAAUAAGAGCAAUAAAACCACAGAUAAAAUUAUAACUAAUAAAAGAAGCGGUGAGUUUAAACUGACUAUGCAAUUUUAAAACAAGUGGGUUUUGAGAUGAAUUUUGAAUGUGGAAAGAGAGUCAAUAUUACAGAUGUCGGGUGGAAGUGAGUUCCAGUACUACAGUAGUAGAAAUAAUGCAUUUUUCCCUCAACGAACAUAAGAAAUGACACAUUUAAAU